Molecule: ribosomal RNA, 480 nt
Filed under: uncultured Alteromonadaceae bacterium
Lineage: Bacteria; Pseudomonadati; Pseudomonadota; Gammaproteobacteria; Alteromonadales; Alteromonadaceae
Description: bacterial SSU rRNA
Rfam family: Bacterial small subunit ribosomal RNA
Source: RNAcentral
GCACGCAGGCGGUCUGUUAAGCUAGAUGUGAAAGCCCCGCGCUCAACGUGGGAGGGUCAUUUAGAACUGGCAGACUAGAGUCUGGAGAGGGGAGUGGAAUUCCAGGUGUAGCGGUGAAAUGCGUAGAGAUCUGGAGGAACAUCAAUGGCGAAGGCAACUCCCUGGCCAAAGACUGACGCUCAUGUGCGAAAGUGUGGGUAGCGAACAGGAUUAGAUACCCUGGUAGUCCACGCUGUAAACGAUGUUCACUCGCUGUUGGCGAUACACUGUCAGCGGCCAAGCGAAAGCAUUAAGUAAACCACCUGGGGAGUACGAUCGCAAGGUUGAAACUCAAAGGAAUUGACGGGGGCCCGCACAAGCGGUGGAGCAUGUGGUUUAAUUCGAAGCAACGCGCAGAACCUUACCAACCCUUGACAUCCUGUGCUACAUCCAGAGAUGGAUGGUUCCCUUCGGGGACGCAGUGACAGGUGCUGCAUGGCU